UACGGAGGGUGCGAACGUUAAUCGGAAUCACUGGGCGUAAAGCGCGCGUAGGCGGUUUGUUAAGUGGGAUGUGAAAUCCCCGGGCUUAACCUGGGAAUUGCACUUCAAACUGGCCGACUAGAGUACGGUAGAGGGAGGUAGAAUUUCCGGUGUAGCGGUGAAAUGCGUAGAUAUCGUAAGGAAGACCAGUGGCGAAGGCGGGUCUCUGGACAGUUCCUGACGCUGAGGCACGAAGGUCAGGGGAGCAAACGGG
This 253-nucleotide ribosomal RNA is filed under the name uncultured bacterium. RNAcentral's name for it is "partial 16S ribosomal RNA". It matches the Rfam family "Bacterial small subunit ribosomal RNA", at positions 524 to 776 of the family's 1533-position model. The record is from RNAcentral.